UAAGACGAAGGUGGCGAGCGUUGUUCGGAAUCACUGGGCUUAAAGAGCACGUAGGCGGAACAGUAAGCGUUUUGUGAAAUCCCCCGGCUUAACCGGGGAAUUGUUGGGCGAACUGCUGUUCUUGAGGCAAGCAGAGGUGCGUGGAACUCUUGGUGGAGCGGUGAAAUGCGUAGAUAUCAAGAGGAACGCCAGCGGAGAAGUCGGCGCACUGGGCUUGUACUGACGCUGAGGUGCGAAAGCGUGGGGAGCAAACGGGAUUAGAUACCCCGGUAGUCCACGCCGUAAACGACGCCUACUAGGUUGCGGGAGCUCUGACGCUCUCGCAGCCGAAGCUAAAGUGUUAAGUAGGCCGCCUGGGGAGUACGGCCGCAAGGCUA
Molecule: ribosomal RNA, 377 nt
Filed under: uncultured Planctomycetota bacterium
Lineage: Bacteria; Pseudomonadati; Planctomycetota
Description: bacterial SSU rRNA
Rfam family: Bacterial small subunit ribosomal RNA
Source: RNAcentral